UUUUUUAGAGUUUAAUUCUGGCUCAGGACGAACGCUGGCGGCGUGCUUAACACAUGCAAGUCGAACGGAAAGGCCCUUCGGGGUACUCGAGUGGCGAACGGGUGAGUAACACGUGGGUGAUCUGCCCUGCACUCUGGGAUAAGCCUGGGAAACUGGGUCUAAUACCGGAUAGGACCACACACUUCAUGGUGAGUGGUGCAAAGCUUUUGCGGUGUGGGAUGAGCCCGCGGCCUAUCAGCUUGUUGGUGGGGUAAUGGCCCACCAAGGCGACGACGGGUAGCCGGCCUGAGAGGGUGACCGGCCACACUGGGACUGAGAUACGGCCCAGACUCCUACGGGAGGCAGCAGUGGGGAAUAUUGCACAAUGGGCGCAAGCCUGAUGCAGCGACGCCGCGUGAGGGAUGACGGCCUUCGGGUUGUAAACCUCUUUCAGUAGGGACGAAGCGAAAGUGACGGUACCUACAGAAGAAGGACCGGCCAACUACGUGCCAGCAGCCGCGGUAAUACGUAGGGUCCGAGCGUUGUCCGGAAUUACUGGGCGUAAAGAGCUCGUAGGUGGUUUGUCGCGUUGUUCGUGAAAACUCACAGCUUAACUGUGGGCGUGCGGGCGAUACGGGCAGACUAGAGUACUGCAGGGGAGACUGGAAUUCCUGGUGUAGCGGUGGAAUGCGCAGAUAUCAGGAGGAACACCGGUGGCGAAGGCGGGUCUCUGGGUAGUAACUGACGCUGAGGAGCGAAAGCGUGGGUAGCGAACAGGAUUAGAUACCUUGGUAGUCCACGCCGUAAACGGUGGGUAGUAGGUGUGGGUUUCCUUCCUCGGGAUCCGUGCCGUAGUAUACGCUUUUCGUACCUCGCCUACGGACUCCGG
This 868-nucleotide ribosomal RNA is filed under the name Mycobacteroides chelonae. RNAcentral's name for it is "bacterial SSU rRNA". It matches the Rfam family "Bacterial small subunit ribosomal RNA", at positions 1 to 885 of the family's 1533-position model. Lineage: Bacteria; Bacillati; Actinomycetota; Actinomycetes; Mycobacteriales; Mycobacteriaceae. The record is from RNAcentral.